CAUAGCGACUAUCGUGGCAUAUCAUAAGCGGAGGAAAAGAAACUAACAAGGAUUCCCUAGUAACGGCGAGUGAAGCGGGAAGAGCUCAAAUUUGAAAUCUUAAAGGUUUACCUUGACGAAUUGUAGUUUAAAGAAGUGUUUUCUGUUGAAGUUUCGGUAAAAGUUCUUUGGAAUAGGACAGUCAUAGAGGGUGAGAAUCCCGUAUUUGACCAGUUACUUUCCAGCUGUGUGAUACACUUUCAAAGAGUCGGAUUGUUUGGGAAUGCAGUCCAAAAUGGGUGGUAAAUUUCAUCUAAAGCUAAAUAUUGGCGAGAGACCGAUAGCGAACAAGUACCGUGAGGGAAAGAUGAAAAGAACUUUGAAAAGAGAGUUAAACAGUACGUGAAAUUGUCAAAAGGGAAGCGUUUGACACCAGUGUUGUUUUCUCGAAAAUCAAUUAAAAAUGGUGGGAUGUUGUGUUGUAUUGACUUUAUCAGCUUUCUGCACUUUUUUUCCUAUCUUUUUUAAUGCACUUUUCGUUUAACAAGUCAACAUCAAUUUCUUUUGUUGUAAAAGAGUCAUUGGAAGGUGGCUUUCUUUUCGGAGAAAGUGUUUAUAGCCUUUGGCUUCUGCAAUCGGAGAGAUUGAGGUCUGCAGCGUAGAUCCUUCGGGGUUAGAUACAUUUGUGCUAAGUUAUAGCCUUUCAUAGACAACUUGUUGACUAUGAUCAGUCAUGUAGCUUACUCGCUUAUGCUAUUUUACCUACGCUUAGGAUGUUGAUAUGCAUGACUGAUAU
RNAcentral lists this ribosomal RNA (775 nucleotides) under uncultured Neocallimastigales. RNAcentral describes it as "partial large subunit ribosomal RNA". It matches the Rfam family "Eukaryotic large subunit ribosomal RNA", at positions 22 to 640 of the family's 3401-position model. Lineage: Eukaryota; Fungi; Neocallimastigomycota; Neocallimastigomycetes; Neocallimastigales. The record is from RNAcentral.